CACAGGGUUAGAGCCAGAAGCAGAGGUUGUGCACAAGGGGUUUGGGAAGGAAUGAUGCUAUCAAGGAGACCAAAGAGAGCUGGUUCUGGGAGUAACGGAGGAAGCACUUUCCAGGGAAGAGGAAGCAGGAUGACGGUGCUGUGGAUGAGCUCAGCCAACACACAGAAAAUCAGUGUUGUUAGGGAACGAGUCUCCUGGACGUAGGGCUGAUAACUAUGUGUUUCGUGUUUCGCUGAUGCACUUGACAUGGAGUGACUGAUAAAUGGACCAUGGAUACCUUUGCUUUCUGUCUCCAGUGGAUGUUCAGAUACACUCAACAACUGGAUGGUAUAUUCUACACAGUGAAGAUUAUCCCUUAAAAAGAUACACUCAGAGCCACACGCUGGGCAGUGAAGGCCCAGCCCCUCCUUCUAUCUGGAAAACCAGAGCCCCCACCACGAGGCCUCACGUGCAGCGUCUCAGGAGCCACCGCACAGGACUCAUGUGUCUGAAUUUAAUUCAUCGGUUUAACAGUUACAUAGGCCCUUCAUGCAUGUAUUUUGAGCAGACUAGAAAACACCAGUACAUAUUAAUUCUUUUUUUUUUUUUUUAAAAGAAGCCAUUAAAUAUUAUGAGAAAAUAUAUAUGGGGUAGAAUAAAACGUUUAUACAUAGUUUUUGGUUUUGUUUU
This 669-nucleotide long non-coding RNA is filed under the name Bos indicus x Bos taurus (hybrid cattle). Its description in RNAcentral is "lncRNA (ENSBIXG00000020150.1)". The record is from RNAcentral. Lineage: Eukaryota; Metazoa; Chordata; Mammalia; Artiodactyla; Bovidae.